AGAGUUUGAUCAUGGCUCAGAACGAACGCUGGCGGCAUGCCUAACACAUGCAAGUCGAACGAGACCUUCGGGUCUAGUGGCGCACGGGUGCGUAACGCGUGGGAAUCUGCCCUUGGGUUCGGAAUAACAGUUAGAAAUGACUGCUAAUACCGGAUAAUGUCUUCGGACCAAAGAUUUAUCGCCCAGGGAUGAGCCCGCGUAGGAUUAGCUAGUUGGUGAGGUAAAGGCUCACCAAGGCGACGAUCCUUAGCUGGUCUGAGAGGAUGAUCAGCCACACUGGGACUGAGACACGGCCCAGACUCCUACGGGAGGCAGCAGUGGGGAAUAUUGGACAAUGGGCGAAAGCCUGAUCCAGCAAUGCCGCGUGAGUGAUGAAGGCCUUAGGGUUGUAAAGCUCUUUUACCCGGGAUGAUAAUGACAGUACCGGGAGAAUAAGCCCCGGCUAACUCCGUG
RNAcentral lists this ribosomal RNA (453 nucleotides) under uncultured bacterium. Its description in RNAcentral is "bacterial SSU rRNA". It matches the Rfam family "Bacterial small subunit ribosomal RNA", at positions 8 to 507 of the family's 1533-position model. The record is from RNAcentral.